AACGAACGCUAGCGGCAUGCCUAACACAUGCAAGUCGAACGAGACCUUCGGGUCUAGUGGCGCACGGGUGCGUAACGCGUGGGAACCUGCCCUUAGGUUCGGAAUAACUCCCCGAAAGGGGUGCUAAUACCGGAUAAUGUCUUCGGACCAAAGAUUUAUCGCCUUUGGAUGGGCCCGCGUUGGAUUAGCUAGUUGGUAGGGUAAAAGCCUACCAAGGCGACGAUCCAUAGCUGGUCUGAGAGGAUGAUCAGCCACACUGGGACUGAGACACGGCCCAGACUCCUACGGGAGGCAGCAGUGGGGAAUAUUGGACAAUGGGCGAAAGCCUGAUCCAGCAAUGCCGCGUGAGUGAUGAAGGCCUUAGGGUUGUAAAGCUCUUUUACCCGGGAUGAUAAUGACAGUACCGGGAGAAUAAGCGCCGGCUAACUCCGUG
RNAcentral lists this ribosomal RNA (433 nucleotides) under uncultured bacterium. Its description in RNAcentral is "partial 16S ribosomal RNA". It matches the Rfam family "Bacterial small subunit ribosomal RNA", at positions 29 to 507 of the family's 1533-position model. The record is from RNAcentral.